Exaiptasia diaphana is the source of this 236-nucleotide long non-coding RNA. RefSeq lists it as uncharacterized. The transcript is spliced from 3 exons. The record is from RefSeq and is a predicted model, not a curated record. NCBI's taxonomy places the organism in Eukaryota, Metazoa, Cnidaria, Anthozoa, Actiniaria, Aiptasiidae.
AGCUUUUGAGAAAAGACAAAGAGAAAGACAGAUUGAUAUUGCUGACCAUAUAUUGAAAGAGGAAAAACAGAUGAAAAAACGAUAUCAACAGCAGCCGCAAUUGUGGCCUGAUAAACAAAGAGAGAGAUCCAAGAGAGCCACAAGGAGACGGCCAAAGCCUAAAUUUUUCAAGUCAACAAGUGGCUCAUCAUCGAUGGAGUACAGUGCUGAUGUGGAAGAUACCGGGGUAAGUGAAU